RNAcentral lists this ribosomal RNA (1348 nucleotides) under uncultured bacterium. RNAcentral's name for it is "partial 16S ribosomal RNA". It matches the Rfam family "Bacterial small subunit ribosomal RNA", at positions 28 to 1382 of the family's 1533-position model. The record is from RNAcentral.
GACGAACGCUGGCUUCCCUGCUUACACUUGCCUGUCAAACCGAAAGGCCCUGAUUGCAUGGUACUCAAGUGGCGAACGGAUGACUAACACCUGUCUGAUCUGCCAUGCUCUUCCCGAUACGCCUGUUAAACUGGCUCUAAUACCAGAUAUGAACCAUUUUUAAUGUGAUGGUUGUAAAGUUUUUUCGGAGUAGGAUGAGCUCGCGCCCUAUCCCCUUGUUGCUGCGGUAAUGUCCUACCAAUGCCCCACACAGAUGAUCCGGCCUGAUAGGGUGGACUGCCACUUUGUGCACUGAUAUACCGCCCAUACUCCUACACGAGGCUAGACAGAGGGCAAUAUUGCACUGUGGUCACAAUCCUGAUGCAACUACUCCGCCUGUGGGAUGACCGCCUUCUGGCUGGACACUCCUUUCGCUAUCGACGAAGCUUUUUGUGACCCUACCUAUAUAACAAUUGCGCGGUAACUACGUGACUCCAUUCACGGUUAUACUUACGACGCGACUCUUCACCCGAAUUACUGCACGCAUUAGCCUCGCAAGUGAUUUGUCGCGUCGUCUGUGAAUUCCGGGGGCUAACUACCGGGUGCGCAGGCGAUACGGGCAUAACUUGAGUACUGUAGGAGUAUCUGGACAUUCGUGGUGUAGCGGCGAAAUGUGCUGAUAUCAGGAGGAACACCGAUGGCGAAGGCAGGUUAAUGUGCAGUUACUGACGACGAGGAGUGAAAGCAUGGGUAGCGAACAGGAUUAGAUACCGUGGUAGUCCAUGCCGUAUACGGUGGACGUUAGGUUUGAGGGUCUUUUCACGACCUUUGUGUCGUAGCUAAGGCAUUAAGCGCCGUGCUUGGGGAGUACGUCCGCAAGAGUAAAACUCAAAGGAAUCGUCGGGGGCCGUCACAAGCGGCGGAGCAUGUGGACUAAUUUGUUGCAACGGGAAGAACUUUUUUUGGGCUUGACAUACUUCGUAUCGGGCUAGAGAUAGUCUUUUCAUUUGUGGCUGCUGUACAGAUGGUUCAUGGUUGUCGUCAGCUGGAGUAGUGAGAUGUUGGUUUAAGUCCCGCAACGAGCGCAACACCUUGUCUGAUGUUGCCAGCAUUGUGUUGGGGAGUCAUGAGAGACUGCCGGGGUCAACUAGUAGGAAGUUGGGGAUGAGGUCAAAUCAUCAUGCGCAGGAUGUCCAGGGUUUUACUCAGGGUACAAUGGUUGGUACAUCGUGCAGCGACACUUGUAGGUGGAGUGAAUCGUUGAAAGCCGGCUAUAGUUCGGAUUGGGGUCUGUAACUAGACACCAAGCAGUCGGAGUCGUUAGUAAUUGCAGAUCAGAAGCGAUACGCAGAAUACGUUGCCCGGACUU